AUCCAACUUCAAGCACAGUUUCUUAAACAGCAUUGUGGCCUCUUUUUUCUGCUCAUCUGAGAAGGAUAAUGCUGUUGACACAAGGCCAGUCUUCUGGACAUAUUCCUCCUCAUAAAUUUCGCCAAGUCCCUUUUUGCUUUUAUUGUCGUCCAGUUCUUUUGUUUCUCGUGGUGCUCUGGAUGGCAAGCUGGGACGCUUCUGAACAUCAUCAAAUCGGCCCUCAAUGAUACGUUUCUGAAUUAUUUCUUCAAGUGUUGCAGUAACCUCUUCAGUGAUUACAGGGGCAGGUCUCACAUUGUGCUCAAA
RNAcentral lists this unclassified non-coding RNA (306 nucleotides) under Hevea brasiliensis (rubber tree). The record is from RNAcentral. Lineage: Eukaryota; Viridiplantae; Streptophyta; Magnoliopsida; Malpighiales; Euphorbiaceae.